This 350-nucleotide RNase P RNA is filed under the name Lachnospiraceae bacterium. RNAcentral's name for it is "RNase P RNA component class A". It matches the Rfam family "Bacterial RNase P class A". From Rfam's summary of the family: Ribonuclease P (RNase P) is a ubiquitous endoribonuclease, found in archaea, bacteria and eukarya as well as chloroplasts and mitochondria. Its best characterised activity is the generation of mature 5'-ends of tRNAs by cleaving the 5'-leader elements of precursor-tRNAs. Cellular RNase Ps are ribonucleoproteins. Lineage: Bacteria; Bacillati; Bacillota; Clostridia; Lachnospirales; Lachnospiraceae. The record is from RNAcentral. RNAcentral also lists the same sequence under 1 other name.
UAAGUAGAACAAAUGAUCGCAGCUGCAAAGGAUAGGAUGCAGGUGAGGAAAGUCCGGGCUUCAUAGGGCAGGAUGCCGGAUAACGUCCGGUGGAGGUGACUCCAAGGCUAGUGCAACAGAAAUAUACCGCCUCUUAUUAUAGGAGGUAAGGGUGGAAGGGUAGUGUAAGAGACUACCGCCUGUCUGGCAACAGAUAGGGCAGAUGUAAACCCCAUUCGAAGCAAGACCAAACGGAAAGCGAUAGGCUUGCCCGGCCUGCUUUCAGGUAGGUCGCUGGAAGCUGCCGGCAACGGCAGUUGUAGAUAGAUGAUCAUUCACGACAUAACCCGGCUUAUCGUUCUGCUUAUUGA